ACAUGCAAGUCGAACGGAGCUGAGAGGAGCUUGCUUUUCUUAGCUUAGUGGCGAACGGGUGAGUAACGCGUGAGUAACCUGCCCUGGAGUGGGGGACAACAGUUGGAAACGACUGCUAAUACCGCAUAAGCCCACGGAUCCGCAUGGAUCUGCGGGAAAAGGAUUUAUUCGCUUCAGGAUGGACUCGCGUCCAAUUAGCUAGUUGGUGAGGUAACGGCCCACCAAGGCGACGAUUGGUAGCCGGACUGAGAGGUUGAACGGCCACAUUGGGACUGAGACACGGCCCAGACUCCUACGGGAGGCAGCAGUGGGGGAUAUUGCACAAUGGGGGAAACCCUGAUGCAGCGACGCCGCGUGGAGGAAGAAGGUUUUCGGAUUGUAAACUCCUGUCGUUAGGGACGAUAAUGACGGUACCUAACAAGAAAGCACCGGCUAACUACGUGCCAGCAGCCGCGGUAAAACGUAGGGUGCAAGCGUUGUCCGGAAUUACUGGGUGUAAAGGGAGCGCAGGCGGACCGGCAAGUUGGAAGUGAAAACUAUGGGCUCAACCCAUAAAUUGCUUUCAAAACUGCUGGCCUUGAGUAGUGCAGAGGUAGGUGGAAUUCCCGGUGUAGCGGUGGAAUGCGCACGAUAUCGGGAGGAACACCAGUGGCGAAGGCGACCUACUGGGCACCAACUGACGCUGAGGCUCGAAAGCAU
This 699-nucleotide ribosomal RNA is filed under the name uncultured Lachnospiraceae bacterium. RNAcentral's name for it is "bacterial SSU rRNA". It matches the Rfam family "Bacterial small subunit ribosomal RNA", at positions 53 to 762 of the family's 1533-position model. The record is from RNAcentral. Lineage: Bacteria; Bacillati; Bacillota; Clostridia; Lachnospirales; Lachnospiraceae.